Molecule: long non-coding RNA, 2448 nt
Filed under: Linum usitatissimum (flax)
Lineage: Eukaryota; Viridiplantae; Streptophyta; Magnoliopsida; Malpighiales; Linaceae
Description: long non-coding RNA (LUSI_LNC008087)
Source: RNAcentral
UGAAGAGCCUUGUCAAUGAAUUCCUGACGAACGAAAAGCAUUUUGAGGAGUCGAGCAUUGAGAAGAAUGGUGGGGAAGUAGAAAGAUUCCUUUUCCCACCUGAGCAUAGGUCCUUGAUGCAUGUUGGCCAACUGAUUGAUGGCUACCUGGCUGAGAUUGCUCAUGAUGCCAAUGUUGGCCUCGAAAGCUUCAUGGACCUUUCUCGAUCUGUUCCGGAGCCUGCAAGGCCGAUUCAUGAUGGUCUUUACAUGGCGAUUGACAUCUACCUCAAGGCAAGCUAAUACUAUUAUAAUUGGUUACAUAACUUAGUAACUGGUUAUAAUCACAUGUAACUAGUUAUGAUAGGUUGUAACUGAUUAUAAUCCUAUUAUGUUCAUUUUUCCUUUCCAAAGUUAAAAAGUAAUUCAUGUGCUUACCCAUAAAAGGCGUUUCUUAUUAUUAUUAUUAUCAUUCAGGAGCAUCCAGGGUUGAGUAAGGUUGAAAGAAAGAAGAUGUGCAGCAUGUUGGAUGUUAAGAAGCUGACAAUGAAUGCUUCAAUGCACGCAGCACAAAAUGAGAGUCUCCCGCUUCGUUUGGUUGUACAAGUUCUCUUCUUUGAGCAGGUCAGAGCAGCAGCAGCAGCAGCUAAUGGUCAAAGCCUCAACCACAACCUGAAUUACACUUCGAAUGCGACGAAAAACACAGAGGAAGGUUGCGAAGUCCUGGAGAAGCAAAUGAGCGUGAAAUUGAAGGUAGCAACUGUUGAGGCUGAGGAGGAGGAAGAGGAGGAGCAGAGGAAUAUGAGGCUGAUGAAGAAAAACAGCAGCAAGAAUAGCAAAAGUGGAUUGCAGUUGCUACCAUCUCGUUCAAGGAGAAUAUUUGACAAGUUGUGGGGUGUUGGGAGGGGAGGGCAUGUAGUAGAGAGCAAGAGCUCUGAGACAUCUGGCAGCUCAGAGCUGAAUGUGCAUUCAUUCAUUGUCCUUUAUUUGGUGGAUAUAUUAAAUUUUGCUACCUCUUUUUCUGGAAAUUAUGACACGUGUGCUCUUCUUACAUGUAGGUAUGUUCCAUCCGAGCUGGCUACAGAUGUCACCAUUAAUGUUGGUGAAGUUAAAUUUUACCUCCACAAGGUAACUUCUUCAGUGCUUCUUCAAUAGCUGCUGAUAUGUUUGAAAUUCCGCCUUUUUAGAGUAGUUAGGACACAAGGCCUUUGAAAUAUGUGCUAAAUUCUGCUACGGAAUGACAGUCACUCUCAACGCAUACAAUGUCGUAGCUGCUCGAUGUGCAGCUGAGUACCUUGAGAUGACUGAGGAUGUCGAUUCAGGGAACCUGAUUUUCAAGAUUGAGGUGUUCCUCAACUCGAGCAUUUUCCGGAGCUGGAAAGAUUCUAUCAUUGUUCUUCAGACCACCAAGGCUCUAUUGCCCUGGUCUGAUGAGUUGAAGAUUGUUGGGAGAUGCAUUGAUUCCAUUGCAUCCAAGACUUCCAUUGACCCUUCCACUAUCACUUGGUCUUAUACUUACAAUAGGAAGCUGAAUGAUGCAGACAAUGAGAUACUACUAGAAGAUGAUGAUGACGUGCAUCGCAAGUUUCGAAAGAGAAACGGUCAUCAUCAUGGUGUUCCAAAGGAUUGGUGGGUUGAAGAUGCAUGUGAGCUGGAAAUUGACCUCUACAAGAGAGUAAUUCUUGCUGUCAAAUCGAAGGGUAGAAUGGACUGUAUGGUGAUGGGAGAGGCUCUUAAAUGUUAUGCUCUUCGAUGGCUUCCUGAUUCCUUAGAUGACUUGACUUGCGACGCAAGUAACUCGUGGCAUAAGUAUCUGGUGGAAACACUAAUCCAUCUUCUGCCCGCUGAAAAGGCUGGUGGUGGCUGUUCUUGUAGUUUCUUACUCAAAUUGUUGAAAGUCGCCAUCUUUGCUGGAGUUAAUGAUACCCUCAAGGAAGAUCUAGUGAAGAGGGCUGGUCUGAAGUUGCAGGAGGCUUCUGUUGAGGAUCUGUUGAUCCCGGCACAGUCGCCUCAGUCUACUACAAAGUACGAUGUUGAGUUGGUGAAGAGCCUUGUCAAUGAAUUCCUGACGAACGAAAAGCAUUUUGAGGAGUCGAGCAUUGAGAAGAAUGGUGGGGAAGUAGAAAGAUUCCUUUUCCCACCUGAGCAUAGGUCCUUGAUGCAUGUUGGCCAACUGAUUGAUGGCUACCUGGCUGAGAUUGCUCAUGAUGCCAAUGUUGGCCUCGAAAGCUUCAUGGACCUUUCUCGAUCUGUUCCGGAGCCUGCAAGGCCGAUUCAUGAUGGUCUUUACAUGGCGAUUGACAUCUACCUCAAGGCAAGCUAAUACUAUUAUAAUUGGUUACAUAACUUAGUAACUGGUUAUAAUCACAUGUAACUAGUUAUGAUAGGUUGUAACUGAUUAUAAUCCUAUUAUGUUCAUUUUUCCUUUCCAAAGUUAAAAAGUAAUUCAUGUGCUUACCCAUAAAAGGCG